GAUGAACGCUGGCGGCGUGCCUAAUACAUGCAAGUCGAGCGAACAGACGAGGAGCUUGCUCCUUCGACGUUAGCGGCGGACGGGUGAGUAACACGUAGGUAACCUACCUAUAAGACUGGGAUAACUUCGGGAAACCGGAGCUAAUACCGGAUAAUAUUUUGAACCGCAUGGUUCGAUAGUGAAAGAUGGCAUUGCUAUCACUUAUAGAUGGACCUGCGCCGUAUUAGCUAGUUGGUAAGGUAACGGCUUACCAAGGCAACGAUGCGUAGCCGACCUGAGAGGGUGAUCGGCCACACUGGAACUGAGACACGGUCCAGACUCCUACGGGAGGCAGCAGUAGGGAAUCUUCCGCAAUGGGCGAAAGCCUGACGGAGCAACGCCGCGUGAGUGAUGAAGGUCUUCGGAUCGUAAAACUCUGUUAUUAGGGAAGAACAAACGUGUAAGUAACUGUGCACGUCUUGACGGUACCUAAUCAGAAAGCCACGGCUAACUACGUG
RNAcentral lists this ribosomal RNA (497 nucleotides) under uncultured bacterium. RNAcentral's name for it is "partial 16S ribosomal RNA". It matches the Rfam family "Bacterial small subunit ribosomal RNA", at positions 28 to 507 of the family's 1533-position model. The record is from RNAcentral.